RNAcentral lists this small RNA (23 nucleotides) under Arabidopsis thaliana (thale cress). Its description in RNAcentral is "ATSL129370". The record is from RNAcentral. Lineage: Eukaryota; Viridiplantae; Streptophyta; Magnoliopsida; Brassicales; Brassicaceae.
UUAAGAAAAGAAAGAAAGAAAAA